This 406-nucleotide ribosomal RNA is filed under the name Pseudomonas sp. enrichment culture. RNAcentral describes it as "partial 16S ribosomal RNA". It matches the Rfam family "Bacterial small subunit ribosomal RNA", at positions 349 to 750 of the family's 1533-position model. Lineage: Bacteria; Pseudomonadati; Pseudomonadota; Gammaproteobacteria; Pseudomonadales; Pseudomonadaceae. The record is from RNAcentral.
CAGCAGUGGGGAAUAUUGCACAAUGGGCGCAAGCCUGAUCCAGCCAUGCCGCGUGUGUGAAGAAGGUCUUCGGAUUGUAAAGCACUUUCAGUUGGGAGGAAGGGCACURACUUAAUACNUUNSUGYUUUGACGUUACYGACAGAAUAAGCACCGGCUAACUCUGUGCCAGCAGCCGCGGUAAUACAGAGGGUGCAAGCGUUAAUCGGAAUUACUGGGCGUAAAGCGCGCGCAGGUGGUUUGUUAAGUCRGAUGUGAAAUCCCCGSGCUCAACYUGGGAACUGCAUUCAAAACUGWCAAGCUAGAGUAUGGUAGAGGGUGGURGAAUUUCMUGUGUAGCGGUGAAAUGCGUAGAUAUMGGAAGGAACACCAGUGGCGAAGGCGACCACCUGACAAAACKACACUCAG